RNAcentral lists this ribosomal RNA (491 nucleotides) under uncultured bacterium. RNAcentral describes it as "bacterial SSU rRNA". It matches the Rfam family "Bacterial small subunit ribosomal RNA", at positions 28 to 498 of the family's 1533-position model. The record is from RNAcentral.
GAUGAACGCUAGCGGCAGGCUUAAUACAUGCAAGUCGAGGGGCAUCAAGGUACACGAAAGUGUAUUGUUGGCGACCGGCGGACGGGUGAGUAAUAGGUAGGUAACCUACCUCAUACUGAGGCAUAGCUGGGAGAAAUUCCAGGUAAUUCCUCAUGAGGUUAUAUGACACAUGUGAUAUAAUCAAAGGUAUCGCAAGGUACUGGUAUGAGAUGGGCUUACUGACCAUUAGCUAGUUGGUGAGAUAAGAGCUCACCAAGGCGAAGAUGGUUAGGGGUUUUGAGAGAGAGAUCCCCCACAUUGGAACUGAGAUACGGUCCAGACUCCUACGGGAGGCAGCAGUAGGGAAUAGUUGGGCAAUGGGCGGAAGCCUGACCCAGCCAUGCCGCGUGAAGGAAGACGGCCUUAGUGGGUUGUAAACUUUCUUUACUAUGCGACUAACUAGAUUUACGAGAUAAUUCUAUAGAAUGUAGCAUAGACAAAAAGCACCGGUA